This is a non-coding RNA of Spinacia oleracea (spinach), 114 nucleotides long. NCBI's taxonomy places the organism in Eukaryota, Viridiplantae, Streptophyta, Magnoliopsida, Caryophyllales, Amaranthaceae. The record is from Rfam.
UGCUUAUUUCGCGAUGGCGGAGCUCGACCGCCCCUUCAAAUGAUGAUCUCGUUCAUUGACGAACACCGUAGCGUGUUCGGGGUCGAGCCGAUCUGCAGGCUUUUGCCGGCCCCA